CCGCCAAUAUGGCAGUGAUAUGUUGUGAAGUUUGUCAUAUCACAGCCAUCUUGACGUGUC
RNAcentral lists this microRNA precursor (60 nucleotides) under Limulus polyphemus (Atlantic horseshoe crab). RNAcentral's name for it is "Lpo-Mir-2-P2m_pre stem-loop". The record is from RNAcentral. Lineage: Eukaryota; Metazoa; Arthropoda; Merostomata; Xiphosura; Limulidae.